AAACAGAGACCAGAAAGGAGCUUGCCAAUCCUGGGCUAGGCUGUUUGCUUUGCUACACGGAAGCCUCAGCAGCUCAGGGUAUGACUGGGCCGGGGGGUUCUAGGGAGCUGAAUCAAAAUGCCUUUUUUACAGAACACAACAGAGUUUAAGUUGGAGAAUUCACAAGGCCUGCCAAACCUGAAUCAUUGGAACAUUCAAACAACUGAAUUGUCACACAGAGCCCCGUAGAAUAAAGUGAUCGACAACCAGAGGGAGAGCUCCCAUGUUCCUCCUCGAGCAGUUUCUUGUUCCAAGAUACCUUUAAGUACACUGGGUCCACACACAGAUAAAUAUGUUUCUCAAGGAUGCUGCAAAAAUCCAACUAUCCAGAGCCUAGACGAACUGGAGUGCCAGAGAAGGUUCAUAAAGAGAGUUUACAAUUCUAAAAGCUAGAUCCUGCUGUCCACAAAGGCUCUGAGCGGGAGCCAUGUUCUUUCUUUGUUAAAUAAUGAGCUUACAACUGGAAGAGAGAGAUUAAAGACAUACUAGUACCAAAUGGAAACUUUCUCCUUGGCUUUAUCGGAAGGAUUAAAACCGACUGAAAAUGGAAUUGCUUCAACAUCAAAUCGCAAUAAUGAGAACUGGUGAAUGAUUUAUGAACCACCUAAAAAUCCUCUUCCAACACACCAGUGAGUGGUACGAGCUUCCGUACUGGGGAACUGGGCACAAGGAGACUUGAAGAGACCUCUCUGCGGACUAGGUUGUAUCCCUGACUCCAGAGCACGGCACUCCUAAUGAUGACAGCCUACUGUGUACACACAUGCCAGUAGACAAAUAAUCAACGGACUAGACUCUCUAUUCUUGGCCCCCAAAGCAAGAGGGCUCCUGUGCCAUGGGUUGUUAAGCCUGCAGAAGACAGCAGAAAAAUCAGACUGGCAGCUCCAACGUCAGCCUCCCUCCCAGGCCUGCCUUUGCCCACACCAUCGAGGACCAGCUCCGCGGCCGCUUACAUGCAGCUGCCUUUCUACAACCUAAGUUCAGAGUUUACUCAGUUACCAAUGAACUACUAUAGGAUAAAUACUGGAAGCAUAUCAUUCAAAUGCUUUAUUGGUCAAAAAGAUGGAUGCUUUUAUUAGUCCAACCUUUUUUGUAAUGGAGUGCCACUGAUGACCCAGCAUUAGCCUCAUUCCCUGCUAUUAAUCACACUUCUAAGAGCUCAUUUUGCCUUAAAAUCUUAAGAAAUUGCUAUAAUUUAAAGACAUGGUGUCUACAUAAUGGGAAAUGCCUCAUAAUUGUAUCAUUUCACAAAAUACAGUAUUUUUUAUGGGAACAAUGACCAUGAUGCUAAGGUAUUGCAAAAUGGGAAUCAUUUAUAUAUAUAAAAGAAAAGAGAGAUGUAAGCUGUCUUUGUAUUUGUGGCUUCCCACAUCUGUACACUUUAAUCAUUACCUUUGGGAGGCUGAUUAAUCGAAAAGCACAGGCAUAUACACCAUUUACGGAGUUAAAAGCAAAAUAACAUCCCCAAACAAAUGAAAAAUAUCAAUGAAAGGGAGAAAACCUAAUGUACAAAGAUAGAAGAGAUGUGAAAACACAUCGCGUGCUCUAAGGAAAUUUCAUCAGUGGUAUAUUCCUUAUUCAUCAUCUAUAGUUCCUGGGCCUUGUCUGUCCAUGCCAAGAGAACUAAAGCAAGCUCUUCAAAUAAGUGACUUCAGGACAAACUACAGGUAUCUGCCAAUUUACUUUCAGUAUUAUUUCAAUAAUAUAAUGAUGCCCUUAGCUUGUAAGUCCUCAUCUCAUUAAACCACCCUUCAUGAACAUUAAGCACAGCCGAAUACUAUAAAGGAAAGCAUAUUUGAAAGAGUGUUUCAAAAUACAGAGCUAAAAUAAAUCUUUUUAAAAGUGCCCCUUCAAUUUUUACUACUACACAAUUAGAACACAACAUAUGCAAGUCCUCAAAUCGUGCAUCCACACAAAAAUGGUGACAUUAUGUUACGUGAUGAAUGAAGGGUAGGCUCCAAUCAGGCACAAAGAUUAUGAAUAGGUUUGGUGUUGAAUGGCUGUGGAGAACAGACCAUCAGUCAGCCUUAAGAGAAGAAUGUGGGGAUCAUCCUACAGUUAGCAAGGGUCGACUCAGAAACUGUGCAACAGCCAGAGGCUGGAGACCAGGGUUAGGUGGGGCUGAGUAUCAGAGGGCUCGGUGAUUACGUCAUCGGAACUCGGAGUGAGAGGCCCCUGCUAGCAGAGAUAAGCUCCCCCAUGUGGUGUCAGAUGGUCACCGUAAACACCUAGUUCUUGCACCCCCUGCUCUGAGUUGUGAAAAGGCCAACUUCUCUCCCUAUUUCUCAAGAGCUAGAGGGAAGUGCUGACCCAGAGAGGAUAUUUAGGAAAAAGCUGUC
This is a long non-coding RNA of Mustela erminea (ermine), 2375 nucleotides long. RefSeq lists it as uncharacterized. Lineage: Eukaryota; Metazoa; Chordata; Mammalia; Carnivora; Mustelidae. The transcript is spliced from 4 exons. The record is from RefSeq and is a predicted model, not a curated record.